AUUGAACGCUGGCGGCAGGCCUAACACAUGCAAGUCGAACGAGUGGCGGACGGGUGAGUAAUGUCUGGGAAACUGCCUGAUGGAGGGGGAUAACUACUGGAAACGGUAGCUAAUACCGCAUACCAUCGGAUGUGCCCAGAUGGGAGUAGCUUGUUGGUGGGGUAACGGCUCACCAAGGCGACGAUCCCUAGCUGGUCUGAGAGGAUGACCAGCCAAACAGGAACUGAAACACGGUCCAGACGCCUACGGAAGGCAGCAGUGGGGAGUAUUGCACAAUGGGCGCAAGCCUGAUGCAGCCAGGCCGCGUGUAUGAAGAAGGCCUUCGGGUUGUAAAGUACGUUCGGCGGGGAGACGUUACCCGCAAAAGAAGCACCGGCUAACUCCGUGCCAGCAGCCGCGGUAAUAC
Molecule: ribosomal RNA, 406 nt
Filed under: uncultured bacterium
Lineage: Bacteria
Description: partial 16S ribosomal RNA
Rfam family: Bacterial small subunit ribosomal RNA
Source: RNAcentral